This 88-nucleotide non-coding RNA is filed under the name unclassified sequences. The record is from Rfam.
ACAGUACAAACUGAGCAGACCGUGACACCCUGUCAUGGAGUCGGGUCACACAGGUGACAGUGGAAUCUAUUUCAUCCACGGGACAGUA